This 472-nucleotide ribosomal RNA is filed under the name uncultured bacterium. RNAcentral describes it as "partial 16S ribosomal RNA". It matches the Rfam family "Bacterial small subunit ribosomal RNA", at positions 30 to 507 of the family's 1533-position model. The record is from RNAcentral.
AGUGAACGCUGGCGGUAGGCCUAACACAUGCAAGUCGAACGGCAGCACAGUAAGAGCUUGCUCUUACGGGUGGCGAGUGGCGGACGGGUGAGGAAUACAUCGGAAUCUACUUUUUCGUGGGGGAUAACGUAGGGAAACUUACGAUAAUACCGCAUACGACCUACGGGGGAAAGCAGGGGAUCUUCGGACCUUGCGCGAUUGGAUGAGCGGAUGUGGGAUUAGCUUGUUGGGGGGGUGAAGGCCCACCAAGGCGACGAUCGGUAGCUGGCCUGGGAGGAUGGCCGGCCACGUUGGGACUGGGAAGCGGCCCAGACUCGUACGGGGGGCAGCAGUGGGGAAUAGUGCACAAUGGGCGGAAGCCUGAUGCAGCAACGCCGCGUGCGGGAUGACGGCCUUCGGGUUGUAAACCGCUUUCGCCUGUGACGAAGCGUGAGUGACGGUAAUGGGUAAAGAAGCACCGGCUAACUACGUG